Molecule: ribosomal RNA, 255 nt
Filed under: uncultured bacterium
Lineage: Bacteria
Description: partial 16S ribosomal RNA
Rfam family: Bacterial small subunit ribosomal RNA
Source: RNAcentral
UACGAAGGGGGGCUAGCGUUGUCCGGAAUUACUGGGCGUAAAGAGCUCGUAGGUGGUUUGUCGCGUUGUUCGUGAAAACUCACAGCUUAACUGUGGGCGUGCGGGCGAUACGGGCAGACUUGAGUACUGCAGGGGAGACUGGAAUUCCUGGUGUAGCGGUGGAAUGCGCAGAUAUCAGGAGGAACACCGGUGGCGAAGGCGGGUCUCUGGGCCGAUACUGACGCUGAGGAGCGAAAGCGUGGGGGAGCGAACAGG